Molecule: long non-coding RNA, 1462 nt
Organism: Anolis carolinensis (green anole)
Lineage: Eukaryota; Metazoa; Chordata; Lepidosauria; Squamata; Anolidae
Exons: 2
Source: RefSeq, a predicted model, not a curated record
CAUCCUGUGUUUGCUUUCUAGUUUGGCCCUCUUGGCUUUCUGUACCCCUAGUUAUGAUGCAAUAGCUCCUCCCUUCUCUCUCUGGCCUGUAAACAUGGCUGCCCAGCUCCACGGAAAUUAUCAUUUUUUUUUCACCGACUGUUGUGGGAUGUUUAACAAGAUUUACCCAGAUUAAUGUACCUGGAAACUUGUUUGUGUCUCUACAGUUGAGUUGACACUGUCUGACAACAUAUAUCUGGUGUGAGAAGGAAAAAAAAUGGAGGAAGAAGAGAAGUGGAGGAUUACAGUUGGUCCUCCAUGUCCAUGGAUUCCAUAUCCACGAAUUGGUGAAAAUAUUCAAAAGAAAGUUCUGAACAGCAAUUUUUAAUUUUGCCUUUUGAAAGAAGAAAUACCCUUUCACUAUGCCAUUCUGCACAAUGGGACCUGAGCAUCCACAGAUUUUUAUCCUAGAACCAAAUCCUCAUGGACACCAAUGGAUACUGUAUAUAAGAUUCUGGAGGAAAUUGGAGGAAGAGGAUGCAACCAUACUGAUCAUCAGAUAUGUUCCAGGUCAACAACAAUAUAGUUUAACAAGUACACAAGUAUUAUUUACAUGUGUCCCAAAGUAAGUUCACAUGAAGUCAAUGCACUUUAGCUUUUGCAAGCAGAGAUUUUAAUAUUAGUGGGUAUUGUCUAUGUAAUACAGGGAGAGGUCAACUCCACUGUUUAAACAGCUCCACUGGCUGCCAUUAAGUUUCCAGUCCCAAUUCAAGGUGAAGGUUCUUAGCUAUAAAGCCCUAAAUGGUUCGGGACCGUCCUAUCUUCGUGACCACAUCUUUCCCUACCAACCUGUGCGAUCUCUAAGAUCUUCUGGAGAGGCUCUUCUCUCACUUCCUCCCCCUUCACAAAUGCGGUUGGUGGGGACACGGGAGAAGGCCUACUCUGCGGUGGCUCCCCGGCUCUGGAAUUCCCUCCCCAGGGAGAUAAGGUUAGCUCCGACCCUCACUGCCUUUCGUAAGCAGUUAAAAACAUGAAUGUUCUGUUGUGCAUUCAAUUAGACAAAUCCUUUAUAACCUGGCCCUUACUCACAUUGAAAUCCGCCCUGCCACCUUACAGAUGAUUUCCAUCUCAGGAUAAUUUUCCCUACCUUGUGUUUUCAUAUCACAUGUAUAUUUCUACUCUGAUAUUUACAUCUUUUUAUCAGUUCUAACUUGAAAUGAGUUUGAUAACUACCCAUUCAUGUCUUAUACUGGACCUUUUAAAGGCUUGUGAAUAAUUGUUAAUAUGUUAUGCUUUUAUAAUUAUGUUAUUUUAAACUAUGGUUUGUUAAACUUGCUUUUAGUAUGAUGCUCGUUGUUUUAACUGUUGAUUUUAUGAUGUAAAUGUGAUUUGAUUGGGCUUGUCCCCAUGUGAGCCGCUCUGAGUCUCCUCGGGAAGAUGGUGGUGGCAUACAAAAAUAAAGUUGUUGUUGUUGUUGUUAUUA